RNAcentral lists this ribosomal RNA (460 nucleotides) under uncultured bacterium. RNAcentral's name for it is "partial 16S ribosomal RNA". It matches the Rfam family "Bacterial small subunit ribosomal RNA", at positions 338 to 795 of the family's 1533-position model. The record is from RNAcentral.
CCUACGGGAGGCAGCAGUGAGGAAUAUUGGUCAAUGGGCGAGAGCCUGAACCAGCCAAGCCGCGUGAAGGAUGACUGCCCUACGGGUUGUAAACUUCUUUUGUCAAGGAAUAAAGUGCGGCACGUGUGCCUUUUUGUAUGUCCUUUCUGAAUAAGGAUCGGCUAACUCCGUGCCAGCAGCCGCGGUAAUCCGGAGGAUCCGAGCGUUAUCCGGAUUUAUUGGGUUUACAGGGAGCGUAGAUGGGUUGUUAAGUCAGUUGUGAAAGGUUGCGGCUCAACCGUAAACUUGCAAUUGAUACUGGCAGUCUUGAGUACAGUAGAGGUAGGCGGAAUUCGUGGUGUAGCGGUGAAAUGCCUAGAUAUCACGAAGAACUCCGAUUGCGAAGGCAGCUUACUAAACUGCCACUGACAUUGAGGCGCGAAAGUGUGGGUAUCAAACAGGAUUAGAUACCCGUGUAGUC